Molecule: long non-coding RNA, 1315 nt
Organism: Balaenoptera acutorostrata (minke whale)
Lineage: Eukaryota; Metazoa; Chordata; Mammalia; Artiodactyla; Balaenopteridae
Exons: 3
Source: RefSeq, a predicted model, not a curated record
GCUGCUGGUCCCACUCCGGCUGGGCUUCCGCGUCCUGCGUGUGGACAGCCGAGGACUCGCGAGGCUGUUCCCGGGGUGCGCGAUGCCGGAGCGCGGGGCAUGCAGGGGCGGAGGGCGCGGAGAGGGCGUGAGGGAAGUAAGCGUGCGUGAAGAGACCCCCACCGCCCUCGGAAACAGAGUUACGGAGAACUAAGUUGGGAGUAUGGGACUUACGAGAGACAGAAUACUACAUGUAAAAUAGGUAUAUUCCUCAAGUGGGACCGCUGAGUCACAGGAUGCACAUUCUGCAGGCUGACACCUGCCAAACUGCCCCCGCCUAAAAGUGGACCUAACUCUGCAACUACAACGGGGUACACAGGGACUCACAUCACACCCUCACAGUUGGCUCAUCACUUUUUUUUUUUUUUAACUGCUCUUAUCACACAUUUUUUACUUCCUUAAUAAAGAAUCUGAGCCUAUUUUCAAGGACACAAAAGUGACCUAACUACCUAGUUUUCUGUUAUAACUAGAUUUCAAUUAUGUGGCAAAGACAUAUACACCAGUUACAAUAAAUAAAAUCCAAAGUAGUUUCAAACCAUCUUGCUGUACAUUUAACUAUUAUCUACUCUUUUUGGAAUAAUUUAUGUGGAUCCUGGGACCAAAAUGAGACUUUGUUCAGAUUUACAAAAUCAUUAAGAAAUCUCAGACAACAGAGUAGAGUUGCCCAACCUCAGCACUCCCGACAUUUGGGCUGUGUGAUCCUUCCUCGAGGGGGCUGUCCGUGUAUCGUAGGAUGUUGAGCGGCACUCCUGGCCUCUACCCACUAUGCACCAGCAGUGACCCUCCCCCACCCCUAGAUGCGACAACCACAAAUGUCUCCAGAAAUUGCUAAAUGUCUCCUGGGGGGCAAAAUCACCACCAGUUAAGAACCACUGGACUAGAAGAGCUAUCAGAAAUUUGAACACAGAGAACACAUUUCAGGAAGAAUUUGAAAAAGUACAGAAUCUGGAAACCAGAGGCUGACAUCAAUCUAAAGCAGGGUCAGCAAACGUUUUUUGUAAAGGGUUAUUAAAUAGUAAACAUUUUAGACUUUGAGAGACAUUUGUUCUCUGUUUCAACUACUCAACUUUGCUGUAGUAGUAUGAAAGCAAUCAUAGACAAAGCAUAAGUGAAUACGCUUAAGCGAAUAGGCUUGGCUGUAUUCCAAUAAACCUUAAUAGGUUAAAUUUGAGUUUCAUACAAUUAUCACAUGUCAUGAAAUAUUAUUCUUUUGAUCUUUUUAUAAUCAUUUAAAAAUAUGAAUGCCAUUCCUGGCUCACAGGCUGUACAAAACAGG